Molecule: ribosomal RNA, 370 nt
Filed under: uncultured organism
Description: partial 16S ribosomal RNA
Rfam family: Bacterial small subunit ribosomal RNA
Source: RNAcentral
GUAGGUGGCAAGCGUUGUCCGGAAUUAUUGGGCGUAAAGCGCGCGCAGGCGGUUCUUUAAGUCUGAUGUGAAAGCCCACGGCUCAACCGUGGAGGGUCAUUGGAAACUGGAGAACUUGAGUACAGAAGAGGAAAGCGGAAUUCCACGUGCAGCGGUGAAAUGCGUAGAGAUGUGGAGGAACACCAGUGGCGAAGGCGGCUUUCUGGUCUGUAACUGACGCUGAGGCGCGAAAGCGUGGGGAGCAAACAGGAUUAGAUACCCUGGUAGUCCACGCCGUAAGCGAUGAGUGCUAAGUGUUAGGGGGUUUCCGCCCCUUAGUGCUGCAGCUAACGCAUUAAGCACUCCGCCUGGGAGUACGGCCGCAAGGCUG